This 253-nucleotide ribosomal RNA is filed under the name uncultured bacterium. RNAcentral describes it as "partial 16S ribosomal RNA". It matches the Rfam family "Bacterial small subunit ribosomal RNA", at positions 524 to 776 of the family's 1533-position model. The record is from RNAcentral.
UACAGAGGUCUCAAGCGUUGUUCGGAUUCAUUGGGCGUAAAGGGUGCGUAGGCGGCGGGGUAAGUCAGGUGUGAAAUCUCGGGGCUCAACCCCGAAACUGCACUUGAUACUGCCUUGCUCGAGUACUGGAGAGGAGAUUGGAAUUUACGGUGUAGCAGUGAAAUGCGUAGAUAUCGUAAGGAAGACCAGUGGCGAAGGCGAAUCUCUGGACAGUUACUGACACUGAGGCACGAAGGCCAGGGGAGCAAACGGG